Molecule: ribosomal RNA, 254 nt
Filed under: uncultured bacterium
Lineage: Bacteria
Description: partial 16S ribosomal RNA
Rfam family: Bacterial small subunit ribosomal RNA
Source: RNAcentral
UACGUAGGGUGCGAGCGUUGUCCGGAAUUAUUAGGCGUAAAGAGCUCGUAGGCGGUCUGUCGCGUCGAUCGUGAAAACUUGGGGCUUAACCCUGAGCUUGCGGUUGAUACGGGCAUGACUGGAGUUCGGCAGGGGAGACUGGAAUUCCUGGUGUAGCGGUGAAAUGCGCAGAUAUCAGGAGGAACACCGGUGGCGAAGGCGGGUCUCUGGGCCGAUACUGACGCUGAGGAGCGAAAGCGUGGGGAGCGAACAGG